GUCACACUGAGCAAAGUCAGUUCCUGUUUAAUAUGUAUUACACUUAGGGUAAAAUAAUUAGUGAAGUUUUGGUGAUACCUAAACCUAAAACAAAUGCACUUGAUAGGAUUUCUUUCUGGUUUUCUUACAGGGUUCUCUCACUGAAGGUCACAAAUAUCUUUGGAAUUCUAAGGCUGAAAAGUUGUACAGAAUAGACACCAGUGCCAAGGGACCAACAGUACAAGAAGAAUUGCUGUGUGAAAGUCAAAACUAGUUCAAUUCAGGCUUGAAGUAAU
This 275-nucleotide long non-coding RNA is filed under the name Zonotrichia albicollis (white-throated sparrow). RNAcentral's name for it is "lncRNA (ENSZALG00000012517.1)". The record is from RNAcentral. Lineage: Eukaryota; Metazoa; Chordata; Aves; Passeriformes; Passerellidae.